GGCAGCAGGGGGACACGAGGCCUCCAGGGCGGGGCCGCUUCCCAGAUCAGGGCUGCAUGUGCCCAGGCCGGGUGCCGGCUCCCCGUGACUCAGGGCGGACGAGAAGGCGCGAGGACAAGGCAGCGGGGCCAGCAGCCCCGAGAAGCCAGGAAGUGGCCUCACACACUUCCCAGAUCGGCCGAGCGACCCGGUGGCCCUGGGGCUCCCGCUGCGCGGCCGCCUCAGCAGCGGGGCCCUGCGGGCAGCCUGCGGGGACGCUGGGAACCUCUGCGGGGGGGGUGGCAAUCCCAACCCUCAGCCCCCCGGCCGGCCGAGCCACACUUGAAAGUCCCCUCUCCAAACCGGAAGGGCCGCGGCUGAGCGGAGACGGCCGGCUCUCUGCAGCCACGUGAUGCUCCGAGUGGUGCGAUACAACGGAGAAAGAAACCCUAUGGCGUGGGGGAAGGGUGGAAGCUUCUGGUUCUGCCCUCUGGGAACCCCGAGCCCCGAGGGCCCGGCGGGGGUCCCCGCCACACUGGCGACCGCACCGGGGAGGUAGGCGGCCCCCAGCCGAGGUGCGGGACCAGGGUGCAGGCGCCCGCCGACCCCGGGCGAGACCCCAGAGCCGCAAGCACACACGCACUUGUUCGCUCAGGCUCGAAGCUCCGGGCGGCCUGUUACGCAGCGACAGCUGACUGAAGCAGGGACCACGGUACGAGCCGAGAGCCACCACGGCGGUGGGGACGCCGGCCGGUGCAGCAAGACAAGAAAAAAGGAACGGAGGUUGGAGAGAAAAGAUUUCAGAAAACCCAAGAAAGAAGAACUAAACACAGCAGAGCAGGCGGCCGGCAGCUAACCCGAGGUCACGGCGCUCCCAGCCGAGGAGAACGGGAGUCUGGGAGUCUCUGCCCUCUGCGCCCACCCCCUGCACCUUAUACGCCUGCCUCGCCUGGUUCCACGCUUGGCUCCCCGUACUAAACAGCUACAGGCGCGCACACGCCCCAGCGCUGGGCGGGCGCCCCGGAAGCCACACCCCCCACCCCCUAACACUCCCGGGAGACGGCCGCCACUGGACCCACUUUGCAGCCGGGGAGACUGAGGCCCAGAGGUCUCAGAGGCAAGUUCAAGGUAGCUCAGCGGCAGGGGCUCCCGAGUCUCUGCAGACGCGCUCUGCCCGCAAGGGCUGGCGGUCGGUCUGCUCCAGGCAGCCCAAGCCGGCCCGCCCUCGCGGCGAC
This is a long non-coding RNA of Felis catus (domestic cat), 1214 nucleotides long. RefSeq lists it as uncharacterized. NCBI's taxonomy places the organism in Eukaryota, Metazoa, Chordata, Mammalia, Carnivora, Felidae. The transcript is spliced from 3 exons. The record is from RefSeq and is a predicted model, not a curated record.